This 468-nucleotide ribosomal RNA is filed under the name uncultured bacterium. Its description in RNAcentral is "partial 16S ribosomal RNA". It matches the Rfam family "Bacterial small subunit ribosomal RNA", at positions 28 to 507 of the family's 1533-position model. The record is from RNAcentral.
GACGAACGCUGGCGGCGUGCUUAACACAUGCAAGUCGAACGGAAAGGCCCUGCUUUUGUGGGGUGCUCGAGUGGCGAACGGGUGAGUAACACGUGAGUAACCUGCCCUUGACUUUGGGAUAACUUCAGGAAACUGGGGCUAAUACCGGAUAGGAGCUCCUGCUGCAUGGGGGGGGUUGGAAAGUUUCGGCGGUUGGGGAUGGACUCGCGGCUUAUCAGCUUGGUGGUGGGGUAGGGGCUUACCAAGGGUUUGACGGGUAGCCGGCCUGGGAGGGGGACCGGCCACAUUGGGACUGAGAUACGGCCCAGACUCCUACGGGAGGCAGCAGUGGGAAAUAUUGCACAAUGGGCGGAAGCCUGAUGCAGCAACGCCGCGUGCGGGAUGACGGCCUUCGGGUUGUAAACCGCUUUCGCCUGUGACGAAGCGUGAGUGACGGUAAUGGGUAAAGAAGCACCGGCUAACUACGUG